This 1811-nucleotide long non-coding RNA is filed under the name Sander lucioperca (pikeperch). RNAcentral's name for it is "lncRNA (ENSSLUG00000001357.1)". Lineage: Eukaryota; Metazoa; Chordata; Actinopteri; Perciformes; Percidae. The record is from RNAcentral.
AUCUAAACCAAGAAUUUUUUAAAGGUCAGAAUACUGAUCAUGUUUUCUUACCAUAAUUACAUUUUUUCAUUUUAAACUUGAAAUACAGUAUUACAUUCCAUACAGUGUGCAUGUAAUAUUUGUGUUUGUGUGUUUAAAGGUUUACAGCAUUGCAUCCUGAAGAGAGGCCAUGAUGUUUUCUUAGCCACUUUUGAAAAUGCCUAAGAAAGACCCCAAGAAGGACGCAAAGAAGGGCGGAAAACCAGAACCAGAGAAAAAGAAAGAGGAGGAAAAGAAAGGCAAGGAUGACAAAAAAGGAGGAAAAGAGGAAAAGAAACCCAGCAAGGAUGAUAAGAAAGGUGGAAAGGAUGAUAAGAAAGGAGAUAAAGAUGAUAAGAAAGGGGGAAAGAAGGGAAAGGAGGAGCCACCCAAGGGAAAGGAUGAUGGAAAGAAAGGAAAAGACAAAGGGAAAGGUAAGAAAGUGGAGUCUGAGGAGGAUGAGGAGGAGCUCCUGAGUGAUGAGGAAGAGGACGAAGAGUUUAGUGAAGAAGAGUCCGAGGAGGAAGACUCAGAGGAUGACAGGAGAGGGAAGGGGCGAGGAGGCAAGGCGACUAAGGGAAAGAAAGGGGGGAAGUCUAGACGUGGGGACUCAGAUGAGGAUGAUGAGGAUGAAGAAGAGGAGGAUGAAGACUACGAAGAGGAUGGCGGCAAAUCCAAAAAGAAAUCUAAAGAUGGCCACCACCAUAAAGGAGCGACAUCUGAUGCUGAUGCAAAGAAAAAGAAAGGUAAAAAAAAAGAGGAAGCUCCGCAGCUUCCCAUAAAGGAAAUCCCAAAGAAAGGUCUGAAGAACAUGUCUAGGAUGUUCAUGAAGUUUUCUGGCUUCAAGAGGCGCAGGAACAGCAGGAAGAAGCUGAAAAGUACAUCACGUUUGUUCCUGGGAUUGGGGAGGAGAAAAACCCGCCUUGCUAAGAAGAAACGCCGCAAGUCCAUGCUGAAGAACACCUCUCGAUUCAUGAUGAGGUUUAAGCGCAGCAAAAAUAAUAAAAAAGAGAAGGAGGCCAAAGCGAAGGCGGAGAAAAAUGGUGGAAAGAAGCCAACCUACAUGCUGCUUCGUCUGGGAGGAGGAAAUGAAUCAAAUGAAAAGAAAGGGGGCUUCUUCAAAAACAUGUUUGGAAAAAAGAACGGUGACGGGCCUCCUGACGACUUCAAGAACAGAAGUGCGUUGCUGGGUAAGGUCGCAGCGGCAACUAACUGGUUGACCAAGCGCUUCCUGUCCACUAAAAUGCAAGAAAAUGCAGGACACCAUGGCUGGAACGGACAUAGACAUAACCGAAAAGCCAGCUCCAGAGGUCGUCUAAAUGGUUACUAUAACAAUGGUUAUGAGAAUGGGGAGGAGGCUUAUGGAUACGACCAGCAACAUUCAGGCAUCCAGAAAGAUUAUGGAGGCUAUGAUGAUGGCUAUGGUGGUUAUGGAGAUGAGGCAACUGCAGCAUAUGGAAGCCAGGGUCAGUAUGGUUACUAUGACAAUGGAGCAGGGGUUGCAGACUAUCAAGACUUGGGUUACUAUGAGGAAGAAGGACUCUAUGAUCCAAAUGCAGAAUAUUAUCAAGUAGGUCUUCAUGAUGAUGGCAUGGGGGACUACUAUAACCCUUAUUCUGCCCAAGGCUACUAUAACAACCAGGAAGCUGAUUACUAUGAUGACCAACAACAACAACAACAACAGGCAAUGGCAAUGUAUGGUGACGAGGGUCAGGGCUACUAUGCACAAAUGGGUGAGGAUGGAUUCCUUGACCCUCAAGCUCAGGGUUAUUUUGAUGAAAAUGUUCAAGGAG